GGGAGGGGAGGGUAUGGGGAGAGCACAAUUAAUCGGUUGGAUAUAUAUGCAUAUGUAGUACAAAGUUAAUUAUCCAUUAGAUAUGGGUGGGAUUGGGGAGGGUAAGGAGUGGAUAAUAAUCAUUAUAAUUUGGGCGUGAACAAGAGUGGGUUUGCUCAUACCCUCCCCAGUGGUAGGCCUACUGCUACCCAUAUUGCUUGUGACUCUAUUGACGGCAGUUACCAUGCAAAUUGUGAACCGCGAGUGCACGGAUCAGUUGUAGCUCUUCCCUCAGAGUAUUCCUCUAAGGUUUAUCAAUCCAUUGGAUCUAUUUUAACUAGCAUUGUUAGUAUGAACUCGGUGUUGAUGAGUGAUUCAGAUCCAAUCUAUUAGCAUGUACAGACAAAUAAUAGAUAGAGCAGAGGUAACCGAUCUAGACCAACCUAGACUAUGCAUAUGUUGUAAUUCUAAGCAAGGAUAGUUAACAGAUAUAAUCUGAGUAAAAAGUAUCUUUGAAUCUACACCUCCGGUCCGGCUCCCAAAAACCCCUAUCUUAUACAAGAAAGAUCCUGUCACGACCCCGUCUAUCAGCAUAGGUAGAU
This 581-nucleotide long non-coding RNA is filed under the name Setaria viridis. RNAcentral describes it as "long non-coding RNA (SVIR_LNC008011)". The record is from RNAcentral. Lineage: Eukaryota; Viridiplantae; Streptophyta; Magnoliopsida; Poales; Poaceae.